Molecule: long non-coding RNA, 262 nt
Filed under: Gossypium raimondii (Peruvian cotton)
Lineage: Eukaryota; Viridiplantae; Streptophyta; Magnoliopsida; Malvales; Malvaceae
Description: long non-coding RNA (GRAI_LNC005543)
Source: RNAcentral
GAAGACGGACGGAGCCUCCAAGCGGCGCGAAAGCUAGGGUUAGAACCCAAGCAGAGAGUUUAGUUUUUUUGUUUUUUUUAUUUUGUUUAUGCAAAUAUUUUUUUUAACAGAAACUCGGUUUAAAUGGUGCAUUGAUACGGUGCCGUUUUAACAAGGAACCAUAAGAGUCAAAACGACGCCGUAUAAGGUGUAGACCCGCGCGGUGACCCGACCCGGGGAAGGAUCCGCGUGUUUUGGCCUCUGUUGGGAAAUUUGUGUAAAU